This 253-nucleotide ribosomal RNA is filed under the name uncultured bacterium. Its description in RNAcentral is "partial 16S ribosomal RNA". It matches the Rfam family "Bacterial small subunit ribosomal RNA", at positions 524 to 776 of the family's 1533-position model. The record is from RNAcentral.
UACGUAGGGGGCAAGCGUUGUCCGGAAUCAUUGGGCGUAAAGAGCGUGUAGGCGGCUCGAUAAGUCUGCUGUGAAAGUCCAGGGCUCAACCCUGGAAGGCCGGUGGAAACUGUCGGGCUAGAGUCCGGAAGAGGCGAGUGGAAUUCCCGGUGUAGCGGUGAAAUGCGUAGAGAUCGGGAGGAACAUCUGUGGCGAAGGCGGGUCUCUGGGCCGAUACUGACGCUGAGACGCGAAAGCGUGGGGAGCGAACAGG